CUGCUAUAUUUUCUAAGGAUGCACUGCAAACAAUUAGAUUAGUAUCAAGGAAGGAAAGAAGAACUGUGGCCAACAUUGGACCAACUGCUUAGAGAUGAGGAUGAUACAACUGUCUCUACGCCUUAUACUGCUGCAAACAGUCAGGGCAAAUGUGAAUAAGAACUAAG
RNAcentral lists this small RNA (167 nucleotides) under Vigna angularis var. angularis. RNAcentral describes it as "Non-protein coding transcript". The record is from RNAcentral. Lineage: Eukaryota; Viridiplantae; Streptophyta; Magnoliopsida; Fabales; Fabaceae.